GAAGAACUAUAUUGAUGGCUGAGAGCCCAGGCAAGCCUGGGAAAGGAAGGUGAGCUGACAGGAUGUCACUCUGUGAGCCAGGCUGGAGUGCAGUGGCACGAUCAUAGCUCACUACAGCCCCAAGCCCUGGGUUCAAGCAAACCUCCUGCCUCAGCCUCCCAAAAGGGGAAUCAGUUCUGGACAGGAGGAUGCCUCCCUGCAUUUGCCCUCCCUGCCUGCCCCCACAUCCUUCUCUGGAAAGGAGAAUGAGGAUGAGAAUGACCUCCCUCUGCAGGACGAGGUAUCAAAUAUUCAGCCCAUGCCAGAGUGAGGAUCUCCUUUUCACCUUCUGUCUAAAUUGUGCCUUGAAUCUCUUUCGCGCUGGGUGCGAACUGCGUGAGACUCUUUUUGUAAAACUCAAACCCUGGCAACCCCACAACACCUGACCUCGAGCUGGUUUCCAUAGCCUGAAUCCUUCCUCUCUAAUUUGCAAACAACUUUCUUAGUAAAUGAUUACAGAGCAGAAUGCAAUCCCUUCUAUAAGAGAUAUGACUCAGAACAAAUUGUAGCCGCGUUUU
This is a long non-coding RNA of Mandrillus leucophaeus (drill), 557 nucleotides long. RefSeq lists it as uncharacterized. Lineage: Eukaryota; Metazoa; Chordata; Mammalia; Primates; Cercopithecidae. The record is from RefSeq and is a predicted model, not a curated record. The transcript has 4 exons.